Molecule: long non-coding RNA, 1202 nt
Filed under: Junco hyemalis (dark-eyed junco)
Lineage: Eukaryota; Metazoa; Chordata; Aves; Passeriformes; Passerellidae
Description: lncRNA (ENSJHYG00000012832.1)
Source: RNAcentral
GGGAGCCUGGCCCAAUCUCAGAUGCCAACCAGGCUACAGGUGCAUGCUGGAGGCAGAAGCUGGGCUGGUGGAGCUUGGGAGCUGUGUCUGCAGCUGCCUCCAGGAACACCAACCAGUGCUGUGUGGCACCACUUUGCAAAUUGUGAAGAUGUUUAUGCUGAAUUGUCCUACUACAGAAAUUGUAUAAUUCAUCCAGGAAAUAAAAUGGCUCCAACGACUAACUUGAGAGUCACAUAAAAAAAUCAGUGAGUACUGCCAGCUUUCUAAGGUUUUAUAAUACUGUUCCCUUAGACUGUUAAAAUUCUAGUCAACUUGUUAAAUAUUUACUUAUUUAACAAACAUGCUGUUUUAAUCUCUCUCCUAUACCCUUAAGUAAUGAAUGACAAAGCACAACAAGAAGGAUACUCACCUAGUUUAUUUUAGAUUAGGGAAAACAGGGACUGGUAGGUAUAACAUACUGAAUAGAAUAGGUAUUUAUAAAAAAUAGCAAAAUGUAGGUAGUUUAGAUGACCAAGAGUAAACUCUAAGAGUUUAUAGUAGUUAAGAGUUUAGAAGACUUUAUUGCUCCAAGCCUUGGAGAUUCCUUAUACCUCGCUAGAUCAUUAUUAUUCUCUUAGCAACAAAAGAUUAAAAAAAAGUUCAUAAAAAAAAAUCUCAGGAUAAGAUCACAAACAUGUAGCAGCAAGAAUAACAAUGCCACACACAUCCCUUUGUCACCCAGUGACAAGAAUGGGCACAUCUGUUGUAAAUCUGGAGUUAAUCUUUUUGGGAAGAAGAGGGGAAUAGGAUUUGGAUGUUGAAUCCUUUCAUUAUCUUUCCUUUGUGUGGGAUAUGAAGGACAGUGAACCAGAGCACAGCUAGAUAUGGCCACAGGCAUCCAAGGCAGCCUAGGUGCAUUGAUUGCUUCAGCACCUGCAAGCAAGAUUGCUGAGCUUGAGAGACAAGUUUCCAUGUUACACAAUAUGAAGACUAAAAAGUUCCUGGAUUGUAUUUUUAGAGAUGUAAGUGUGCUUAGCAAAGGACGGUCUGAGGUACACAGUGCAAGAAGAGAGGGAUAGAUGAAAGCUGAGUUACUGUGACUGGAACAUAGAAAGUCAGGCAGUCAUCCAGAAGGGAUUGUGAAUGUGGGAGCACCAGAGUGUGUCCCUGGAGGUGUUACUGGUGUUACUGGCAGGUGAUGAACACACAACCCUGGGGUGAAA